UGUCUCAGUAGCUCAGCUGGAUAGAGCAACGCCCUUCUAAGGCGUCGGUCGGGAGUUCGAAUCUCUCCUGGGACGU
RNAcentral lists this transfer RNA (76 nucleotides) under Psychrobacillus lasiicapitis. Its description in RNAcentral is "tRNA-Arg". It matches the Rfam family "tRNA". From Rfam's summary of the family: Transfer RNA (tRNA) molecules are approximately 80 nucleotides in length. Their secondary structure includes four short double-helical elements and three loops (D, anti-codon, and T loops). Further hydrogen bonds mediate the characteristic L-shaped molecular structure. tRNAs have two regions of fundamental functional importance: the anti-codon, which is responsible for specific mRNA codon recognition, and the 3' end, to which the tRNAs corresponding amino acid is attached (by aminoacyl-tRNA synthetases). tRNAs cope with the degeneracy of the genetic code in two manners: having more than one tRNA (with a specific anti-codon) for a particular amino acid; and 'wobble' base-pairing, i.e. permitting non-standard base-pairing at the 3rd anti-codon position. Lineage: Bacteria; Bacillati; Bacillota; Bacilli; Caryophanales; Bacillaceae. The record is from RNAcentral.